RNAcentral lists this long non-coding RNA (420 nucleotides) under Capsicum annuum. Its description in RNAcentral is "long non-coding RNA (CANN_LNC020925)". The record is from RNAcentral. Lineage: Eukaryota; Viridiplantae; Streptophyta; Magnoliopsida; Solanales; Solanaceae.
UGCAAUAUAGGCCGCACGUAAUCUUUCUUCCCAACGAGCCCUUUUUUCUAUUUGGAAGACGGGCAUUCCGUUCGAAAUACAUGGUUUUCAGUAUGUCUCCAGAUAGGGCCUCCACUAAUCUGACCAACUAGUGAGCGGUUCUUUCGGACAAGAAGCAGGCCGAACCCUACGGGUGGACAUCUCCCCCAACGCAAGCACCAUUGUUCACCCUCCCAGACCCCACUAUAUAUAUAUAUAUAUAUACAUGCAUAAUUCUGAGUGUAGUUAAUUGGACAAUGAUAUAUGCAUCUGUCUCUCUGUUUAAUUGUGUCAGCUUGAAUACUGCAUGCAUUUGUGUCUGUGCUUUUCACUUUCACCAUUUCCCAUGGGAUCCAGAAGUCCCUUAAUUUAUGCUGGUAAUUAAUUAAUAUAAACUUUACA